AUAAAAUAUCUUAAUCACAAUCACCAAAUCACAAAAUACACCAAAAUAAGAUUUGUCAAAUCUAAUAUCACUUGGAAUAACAUGUUUCUUACAAUGUUUUUAAUUAUAACAUUGUAAUAAAACAACACAAUCCAUCCAUGGAAUUAAAGAGAGAAAAAGAAAGAAUUUUCUUUCAAUAAUAUGUUGUAGUCUCGAGGGAAUGGCGACGACUACCAAAAAAAACAGCACCGUGGUCGUCGGAAUCUUCACAAAGAGCUGCGGCAGCUCCCCCUUGAAGAUCCAGAAGCGUAAGUUCUCUUAGAAUCCACUUGAAAGCCAUGAAAACACCAAAUCGGAUUUGACAUUCUCUUGCCUCAAUCAACCGCCUCCCCCGUUAUAUCGACAUGGGAUUUCAAGCAAAGCUUCCCUUCCCUGAGAUGUAACAUCUGACUGUUUGGAUUGUCGAAUGAGGCCUGGAACCCCUCUGACCAAGCUAAGGUCAACAAUGUUCUGUCUUCUUCUCUUUUUUAUGUGGUGAAAUGGUGAUUGAGUAAGUAGUGUUGGUCAAGGUGGUGGCUAUGGUUUAGAGAGGGGCGGAGAGUGGGCGGUUUGGGGGCCUCGAUAGUCAAGAAAUAGUGGAGUCAAGUUAAUGCCAACUUUGCUGACUUUUGAGUCCAAUUUUUCUUACAUUUUCAUGCAAGGAUCAAUUUAACCAAAUAGCAAUGAAGAGAUAAAAAUUAGGCUCAUAAUCCAGCAAAGUUGACACUAUAAUCAUAUUUCUAUGUAUUUC
Molecule: long non-coding RNA, 769 nt
Filed under: Gossypium raimondii (Peruvian cotton)
Lineage: Eukaryota; Viridiplantae; Streptophyta; Magnoliopsida; Malvales; Malvaceae
Description: long non-coding RNA (GRAI_LNC008719)
Source: RNAcentral